This 324-nucleotide ribosomal RNA is filed under the name Triticum aestivum (bread wheat). Its description in RNAcentral is "partial small subunit ribosomal RNA". Lineage: Eukaryota; Viridiplantae; Streptophyta; Magnoliopsida; Poales; Poaceae. The record is from RNAcentral.
AUGUUUGCCCGCGCAAGGAAGGUGUGCCACAUUGCGCUCCCGUCGCUGAAUCCCCAUGACUCCUUCCAUUCGCUUCUCAUUGUGAGCGUUCAGUUGCCUACCUAUCCCACUACCAUGUUCGAUGAGAACGACAGCGACGGUGUAAGCUCGGUCCUGUAUUUGAAGAUAUUCAACAGCUUCGACAAGGAGAUUUCUCUUCGGCUCAAGGACAGCAUCAAGAGUGUGAUGAAUGAGGAAACGAAGAAGGUCAAGGGGUUCCCGGGGGACAACAACGUGCCCUACACAGAGAGGCUGAAAAUCCUGGCCGGCAGCUCAGCACCCUGA